GCGUUUGUGGUUUAGUGGUAAAAUCCAUCGUUGCCAAAGCGGUUUAGUGUCAAACAUCAUCCCUGCAACAACUUCGAUGGGCCCCGGGUUCGAUUCCCGGCGAACGCA
RNAcentral lists this transfer RNA (108 nucleotides) under Lachnellula willkommii. It matches the Rfam family "tRNA". Rfam says of the family: Transfer RNA (tRNA) molecules are approximately 80 nucleotides in length. Their secondary structure includes four short double-helical elements and three loops (D, anti-codon, and T loops). The record is from Rfam by way of RNAcentral. RNAcentral also lists the same sequence under 1 other name. Lineage: Eukaryota; Fungi; Ascomycota; Leotiomycetes; Helotiales; Lachnaceae.